CUUAAGAUAAGCUAAUUAAGCUUGUGGAUUCAUACUCCGCCUAUGGCCCCCCCCUCUUAAGA
Molecule: transfer RNA, 62 nt
Filed under: Ichthyoxenos japonensis
Lineage: Eukaryota; Metazoa; Arthropoda; Malacostraca; Isopoda; Cymothoidae
Description: tRNA-Met
Source: RNAcentral